RNAcentral lists this ribosomal RNA (134 nucleotides) under Acaulospora cavernata. The record is from RNAcentral. Lineage: Eukaryota; Fungi; Glomeromycota; Glomeromycetes; Diversisporales; Acaulosporaceae.
CAGUCAUGCUAGUGAGGAAUCAACUUGAUGGUGUGUGGGUUCGCUCGCAUACUUUCCGAUGCACUUCCUCACUCGGCAGGUUAGCAUCAAUUUCGGUUAUCAAUAAAAAAUUUGAGGGAAUGUGGUCUUUUCUU